This 870-nucleotide ribosomal RNA is filed under the name Kavinia sp. FO25092. Its description in RNAcentral is "partial 25S ribosomal RNA". It matches the Rfam family "Eukaryotic large subunit ribosomal RNA", at positions 56 to 962 of the family's 3401-position model. Lineage: Eukaryota; Fungi; Basidiomycota; Agaricomycetes; Gomphales; Lentariaceae. The record is from RNAcentral.
NNNNNNNNNNNNNNNNCCCUAGUAACUGCGAGUGAAGCGGGAUAAGCUCAAAUUUAAAAUCUGGCGUCUCCGGCGUCCGAGUUGUAAUUUAGAGAAGCGUUUYCCGCGCCGGACCGUGUACAAGUCUCCUGGAACGGAGCGUCAUAGAGGGUGAGAAUCCCGUCUUUGACACGGACCCCCGGUGCUCUGUGAUACGCUCUCGAAGAGUCGAGUUGUUUGGGAAUGCAGCUCAAAAUGGGUGGUGAACUCCAUCUAAAGCUAAAUAUUGGCGAGAGACCGAUAGCGAACAAGUACCGUGAGGGAAAGAUGAAAAGCACUUUGGAAAGAGAGUGAAACAGUACGUGAAAUUGUUGAAAGGGAAACGCUUGAAGUCAGUCGCGUCCGCCGGGAUUCAGCCUUCGGGUGUACUUUCCGGUGGACGGGCCAGCAUCACUUUCAAUCAUCGGACAAGGUCGAGAGGAAUGUGGCACCUUCGGGUGUGUUAUAGCCUCUUGUCGUAUACGGUGACUGGGAGUGAGGACCGCCUUUGUAGGAUGCUGGCGUAAUGGCUUUAAACGACCCGUCUUGAAACACGGACCAAGGAGUCUAACAUGCCCGCGAGUGUUUGGGUGGAAAACCCAUGCGCGUAAUGAAAGUGAAAGUUGGGAAGGCUGUCGCGGCCUGCACCGACGCCCGGACUCGAGAUUUAUCUAAGGUUUUGCGGUAGAGCGUGUAUGUUGGGACCCGAAAGAUGGUGAACUAUGCCUGAAUAGGGUGAAGCCAGAGGAAACUCUGGUGGAGGCUCGUAGCGAUUCUGACGUGCAAAUCGAUCGUCAAAUUUGGGUAUAGGGGCGAAAGACUAAUCGNNNNNNNNNNNNNNNNNNNNNNNNN